RNAcentral lists this microRNA (23 nucleotides) under Aedes aegypti (yellow fever mosquito). RNAcentral describes it as "aae-miR-309b-5p". Its record names the gene aae-miR-309b-5p. The record is from miRBase by way of RNAcentral. Lineage: Eukaryota; Metazoa; Arthropoda; Insecta; Diptera; Culicidae.
CGUCAAACUCCGUUCAGUUGGUG